This is a long non-coding RNA of Lathyrus oleraceus (garden pea), 598 nucleotides long. RefSeq lists it as uncharacterized. The transcript has 2 exons. NCBI's taxonomy places the organism in Eukaryota, Viridiplantae, Streptophyta, Magnoliopsida, Fabales, Fabaceae. The record is from RefSeq and is a predicted model, not a curated record.
AUGCCAUUUCCAAAAGCGCACAAUAGGAUUUCAGCAUCCUGCAAACCCAAACAUCCAAUACUACAAACGAAAAUGGACUCCGCCGCCGCAUCCUAUUCCGAUGGAACACCGACAUUCCAACCUCUCGUCGCCUGGAAUUCGUGAAACACAGAACAUAGCACCGGCCGUGAUGGUAUCAUCCUAAGAAAAUCCAACGAAAGAACUAACGAUUCCUUCAGCUCUGAUUCUGGUUCGGCGAUUCAGAAGUAAAAGUUCUUCACGAUCCACGCUUCCUCUCGCGAGAUGCCUUGGUGUUCCAAUCAACGGAUCGAACCACAAUUCGUAGCUUCCGUUCAAACCCGUAUACACGAGGGCGUGCAAAAUCAAAGAAAAAGAACGAGGAACUCACCGGAUUAGUCUGAUGAUCAACAGGUGAGUUUGGCUGCCUAAUGGACUUGCGUUUGCGGCUGUCGUUUGAUAUGCGUUAAGCUCGCGUACGACAAUUUUGUUCCGUCAUUUAGUUGUGCGUACAACGCAUGGUUUUCUUUGGUUUUCGUUUAGCUGCAGUUUUCUUUGUUUCAUUUCACUUUUCCUAUAACAAAACAAAUUUCAUCCUUAA